CCAGGGGUGGCUGGGUGGUUAAGGUGUUGGUUUUAAAACCCAAGGGACAUGUCACCUUGUGGGUUUAAACCCCACUCCUGGU
RNAcentral lists this transfer RNA (82 nucleotides) under Scleropages formosus (Asian bonytongue). It matches the Rfam family "tRNA". Rfam says of the family: Transfer RNA (tRNA) molecules are approximately 80 nucleotides in length. Their secondary structure includes four short double-helical elements and three loops (D, anti-codon, and T loops). The record is from Rfam by way of RNAcentral. Lineage: Eukaryota; Metazoa; Chordata; Actinopteri; Osteoglossiformes; Osteoglossidae.